AGCAGCCGCGGUAAUUCCAGCUCCAAUAGCGUAUAUUAAAGUUGUUGCAGUUAAAAAGCUCGUAGUUGAAUUUCGGGGUUCUACCGUUGGUCGGGCUUUGUCUGUACUGGCGCGUAGAAUUUCUACCUUCUGGGGAACCGUCAUGUUAUUAAUUUAACGUGGUGGGAAACCAGGACCUUUACCUUGAAAAAAUUAGAGUGUUCAAAGCAGGCUUAUGUCUGAAUACAUUAGCAUGGAAUAAUAAAAUAGGACGGUGGUCCUGUUUUGUUGGUUUCUGAAUCACCGUAAUGAUUAAUAGGGAUAGUUGGGGGCAUUAGUAUUCAAUUGUCAGAGGUGAAAUUCUUGGAUGUAU
Molecule: ribosomal RNA, 352 nt
Filed under: uncultured Racocetra
Lineage: Eukaryota; Fungi; Glomeromycota; Glomeromycetes; Diversisporales; Gigasporaceae
Description: SSU rRNA
Rfam family: Eukaryotic small subunit ribosomal RNA
Source: RNAcentral